This is a long non-coding RNA of Oncorhynchus tshawytscha (Chinook salmon), 1559 nucleotides long. NCBI's taxonomy places the organism in Eukaryota, Metazoa, Chordata, Actinopteri, Salmoniformes, Salmonidae. The record is from Ensembl.
CUACGGGGUAGGAGAAAGGGGGUAGGUCCUACGGGUAGGAAUGAGGAGGUAGGGGGUAGGGGCUAGGAGUAGGAGCUAGGGGUAGGGGAAAAGGCCUAGAGGGUAGGAGCUAGGGAGUAGGGGCUACAAGGUAGGGGCUACAAGGUAGGAGCUAGGGGGUAGGGGAAACAGGGUAGGUGGAACGGGAUAGAGGAUACAGGGGAAUGGGGUAGGGCAAAGGGGUAGGAGGUAUGUGGUACGAUCUAGAAGUAGGGGCUAGGCCUAGGGGGUAGGGACUAGGGGUAGCAGCUAGGAGGUAGGGGAUAGGGACUAGGGGUAAGAGAUAGGGGCUAUGGGUUAGCAAACACACACAACCUGUUCUACUGAUAUGUUGAACUAGCUGUCAAAAGCCACAUUUCAUAUUAUGAGCCAAAUCUACUGUAAAAGAGCGUAAUGGGAGUUUACUGGUAUUGUCAUAAACAUAUAGUUAAAAAGACCUCUCAUAAGAUUAACAACACUAAAAGAUAUGUAAAAUACAAUCAUGGGUGGGAGAGCUUACUGGUAUUGUUAUAAAGCAUAUUGUUCAUCUGUCUUUAUCCCUAAUCAAACAACCUCAUAUCACACAAUAGCCAAUGAAAUAGUCUGUAUAGUAAUAGAAGCAAUACUUAUGUCUUUUGAAAUCUGUGGCUUAUGGUAUGAAGGGAAAUACUGAUAGUAAAAACAAACAUUGCAUUCUAGUGAAGUAAUUUGAUAAGAACUGAUCACACUAAAAUGCAACCUGGUUUCAGAGCAUUUCGUAUUAUUGUGUAUGUAAAUCUGGGACAAUCCAUUUAGUAUGAUAUGUUAGGUUUUGUAUGUUAUGUAUUCAUUUGUGGAUGUCCAUCAUGCAUUUUGAAUGAUAUGUUACGAAUAACAAUUUGUAUAGGUUACAAAUCCGCAAAAUGUACAAUAUGUUAGGAAUUUGCUAACUGUACAAUAUGAAGCAAAUUUGCAAAAACGUAUGCUGUUACGAAUUCCAAUUUGAUGCGAUUAACAUUAGCUGGGUGGCUAACACUAACUUUAGCUAGCUGGCUAACAAUAGCUCGGUUAGGGUUAAGGUAAGGAAUUUGUAUAAAAGGUUAAGGUUAGGGUUAGUUAAAUGGGUUACGUUUAGGGUUAGGGUUAGCUAACAUGCUAAGUAGUUGCAAAGUAGCAAGUAGUUAAAAAAUGGCUAAUUAGCUAAAAUGCUAAAUGAGAUUUGAACACGCAACCUUUGGGUUGUUAGAUGUUCGUGUUAUAUAGCCAAGCCAUCCACCCCGACCAACCACCCUCCUUUCGUUUUUGCCUUGAGUAACAUUCUGUCUCAUGAAACCAUACCAAAUGUAACAUGUCACACUAAUUUGAGUGUCCAGGAUUUAGAUUUACUAUGUUAUGUCCAGUGGUGACCCGUAUUUCAGGGAAGGUGAGGCCCCAAAACAUUUUUGGGGGGGGGGCUUUUCUGUUUUGCAUGUUAUUUUGGCAUAAAUACGCGUCACAUAUCAGUUUGCAAACAAUGUAAAAGAAUAUAUAUCAUUGAGAUAAUAAAGCCGCAUAGAAACGUG